Syngnathus typhle (broad-nosed pipefish) is the source of this 1131-nucleotide long non-coding RNA. RefSeq lists it as uncharacterized. The transcript is spliced from 2 exons. The record is from RefSeq and is a predicted model, not a curated record. NCBI's taxonomy places the organism in Eukaryota, Metazoa, Chordata, Actinopteri, Syngnathiformes, Syngnathidae.
UGCCAUGUGAUUGCGCCGGACAAGACAUUGGGAAGUCAAUUACGGCGGCCGAAUGUGCAAUCUUUGAUCAAGCCUUGUGGAGUAAUUCGAGAGAUGAAUUCCACGAAAAAACGAACAAAUGGCUCGCAUAACUUCAGCGCUUCUGCCAAACCAAACAGCGUGUCAGUGAGUUAUGUGACUGGUGCACCAAGAAGGCGGAGAAGGAGGGGCGGUGAGGUGAGGUGAGCCGAGGACAGGAUAUGAAAAGGAGAGAGUGCACUCAAGGACACGACUAUGGCAAGACAAAGAAAGUCUGAGGAGCAAAAGAAAAACCUCCAAGAGGAAGGAAGGGCACGUUUGCUCCGUGGCCGAGGUCCAAGUAGCUGAAUAGUAAUAAUUAUUAUUAUUAAGGCGCUGUGCAUAUAUGGUUGAUGACCGAAUGAUAUCUUGCGCUUUCACCACGGGAACUAAGCACCACGCAGUCAAUCAUUGGAGCGACGCACGAUCCCUGAGCCAAGAGAGAAUUUGUGGAAAGGUCUCAAGGGUAAGCACAGGAAGAAUCAGAAAAAGAUUGAGAUCCAACGGGCAUGUGUCAGCACAUCCGUUUCCAAUCGACAACUUGGAUUCAUUUGGGUUUGAAACUAGCUGGUACCCAAAACAACGGGUUGAAGUGGCGCAACAAGCGGAAACACGUCUUUUGCUUCCCAAAACUAGGACACGGCGCUCCGGUAAACAUGACGGCAGCGGCAGGCAGAGCAAAAGUGUUGUAAUGGCCGCCGGCGCGUUCAUCGUAUGAGUCACAUUUUGAAAACACCUGCUGCUCACAGCUGGAAAACAACUACACUUCCAUGAAUCACACAGGUGGAGGACAUAAAUUCACACCUGACUAGCUGUUAUCCGAAACCUCAAGUCUUGGCGCUAACUUUAAAAUUCCUGGAAAGUCCAAACAAAGCUUAGGUACAUUCGAAAUACCCCCCCACCCCACCCUGUUUUUUUCUUCACAUGCCUCCACUUACGCUUGCGUAACGUCAACUCACAAACAAAAUGUACCGGCCGGAUUCAGUGAUGCAUGGGGAGCAAAAGGUCACACGCACAAAAGCGAUCUCCGAAGCAAAAUAAUGACGGUCGUAUCAGCUGCAAUGUGGGGGGGGG